GCGGACGUGGCGAAAUCGGUAGACGCAGCGGACUUAAAAUCCGCUUCCAUCGGAGUGCGGGUUCGAGUCCCGCCGUCCGCACCA
This 84-nucleotide transfer RNA is filed under the name Sphingomonas oligophenolica. Its description in RNAcentral is "tRNA-Leu". It matches the Rfam family "tRNA". Rfam says of the family: Transfer RNA (tRNA) molecules are approximately 80 nucleotides in length. Their secondary structure includes four short double-helical elements and three loops (D, anti-codon, and T loops). Further hydrogen bonds mediate the characteristic L-shaped molecular structure. tRNAs have two regions of fundamental functional importance: the anti-codon, which is responsible for specific mRNA codon recognition, and the 3' end, to which the tRNAs corresponding amino acid is attached (by aminoacyl-tRNA synthetases). tRNAs cope with the degeneracy of the genetic code in two manners: having more than one tRNA (with a specific anti-codon) for a particular amino acid; and 'wobble' base-pairing, i.e. permitting non-standard base-pairing at the 3rd anti-codon position. Lineage: Bacteria; Pseudomonadati; Pseudomonadota; Alphaproteobacteria; Sphingomonadales; Sphingomonadaceae. The record is from RNAcentral.